This 839-nucleotide ribosomal RNA is filed under the name uncultured Sphingobacteriia bacterium. RNAcentral's name for it is "bacterial SSU rRNA". It matches the Rfam family "Bacterial small subunit ribosomal RNA", at positions 74 to 914 of the family's 1533-position model. Lineage: Bacteria; Pseudomonadati; Bacteroidota; Sphingobacteriia. The record is from RNAcentral.
CGGUGCUUGCACCGGAUGAGAGUGGCGCACGGGUGCGUAACACGUAUGUAACCUACCCUUGUCAGGGGGAUAGCCUCUCGAAAGAGAGAUUAAGCCCGCAUAACAUGUUGAUAUGGCAUCAUAUUAACAUCAAAUAUUUAUAGGACGGGGAUGGGCAUGCGGAACAUUAGCUAGUUGGUAAGGUAACGGCUUACCAAGGCAACGAUGUUUAGGGGAUCUGAGAGGAUGGCCCCCCACACUGGUACUGAGACACGGACCAGACUCCUACGGGAGGCAGCAGUAAGGAAUAUUGGUCAAUGGGCGGAAGCCUGAACCAGCCAUGCCGCGUGCAGGAAGACGGCCCUACGGGUUGUAAACUGCUUUUGCAGGGGAAUAAACCCCCCAACGAGUUGGGGGCUGAAUGUGCUCUGAGAAUAAGGAUCGGCUAACUCCGUGCCAGCAGCCGCGGUAAUACGGAGGAUCCGAGCGUUAUCCGGAUUUAUUGGGUUUAAAGGGUGCGUAGGCGGCCUUGUAAGUCAGGGGUGAAAGACGGUAGCUUAACUAUCGCAGUGCCUUUGAUACUGCAGGGCUUGAAUGUACUUGAGGUAGGCGGAAUGUGACAAGUAGCGGUGAAAUGCAUAGAUAUGUCACAGAACACCAAUUGCGAAGGCAGCUUACUAAAGUAAGAUUGACGCUGAGGCACGAAAGCGUGGGGAUCAAACAGGAUUAGAUACCCUGGUAGUCCACGCCCUAAACGAUGAAUACUCGAUGUUGGCGAUAUACAGUCAGCGUCAAAGCGAAAGCGUUAAGUAUUCCACCUGGGGAGUACGCCCGCAAGGGUGAAACUCAAAGGAAUUGAC